This 253-nucleotide ribosomal RNA is filed under the name uncultured bacterium. Its description in RNAcentral is "partial 16S ribosomal RNA". It matches the Rfam family "Bacterial small subunit ribosomal RNA", at positions 524 to 776 of the family's 1533-position model. The record is from RNAcentral.
UACGAAGGGUGCAAGCGUUACUCGGAAUUACUGGGCGUAAAGCGUGCGUAGGUGGUUUGUUAAGUCUGCUGUGAAAUCCCCGGGCUCAACCUGGGAAUGGCAGUGGAUACUGGCAAGCUAGAGUGCGGUAGAGGGAUGUGGAAUUCCCGGUGUAGCGGUGAAAUGCGUAGAGAUCGGGAGGAACAUCAGUUGCGAAGGCGGCUCUCUGGACCAGCACUGACACUGAGGCACGAAAGCGUGGGGAGCAAACAGG